Molecule: ribosomal RNA, 466 nt
Filed under: uncultured bacterium
Lineage: Bacteria
Description: bacterial SSU rRNA
Rfam family: Bacterial small subunit ribosomal RNA
Source: RNAcentral
UAGCCAGACUCCUACGGGAGGCAGCAGUGAGGAAUAUUGGUCAAUGGGCGGGAGCCUGAACCAGCCAAGUCGCGUGAGGGAUGACGGCCCUAUGGGUUGUAAACCUCUUUUGCCGGGGAGCAAAGUGCCGCACGUGUGCGGUUUGGAGAGUACCCGGAGAAAAAGCAUCGGCUAACUCCGUGCCAGCAGCCGCGGUAAUACGUAGGUGGCGAGCGUUAUCCGGAAUGAUUGGGCGUAAAGGGUGCGUAGGCGGCCUGCUAAGUCUGGAGUGAAAGGUACCGGCUCAACCGGUACAGGCUCUGGAAACUGGCGGGCUAGAGAGCAGGAGAGGGCGGUGGAACUCCAUGUGUAGCGGUAAAAUGCGUAGAUAUAGGGAAGAACACCAGUGGCGAAGGCGGCCGCCUGGCCUGUUACUGACGCUGAGGCACGAAAGCGUGGGGAGCAAAUAGGAUUAGAUACCCUGGUA